AAUGGGGGAAACCCUGAUGCAGCCAUGCCGCGUGUGUGAAGAAGGCCUUCGGGUUGUAAAGCACUUUCAGUUGUGAGGAAAGGAUAGUAGUUAAUACCUGCUAUCUGUGACGUUAGCAACAGAAGAAGCACCGGCUAACUCCGUGCCAGCAGCCGCGGUAAUACGGAGGGUGCGAGCGUUAAUCGGAAUUACUGGGCGUAAAGCGCACGCAGGCGGUUUGUUAAGCUAGAUGUGAAAGCCCCGCGCUCAACGUGGGAUGGUCAUUUAGAACUGGCAGACUAGAGUCUUGGAGAGGGGAGUGGAAUUUCUGGUGUAGCGGUGAAAUGCGUAGAUAUCAGAAGGAACAUCAGUGGCGAAGGCGACUCCCUGGCCAAAGACUGACGCUCAUGUGCGAAAGUGUGGGUAGCGAACAGGAUU
RNAcentral lists this ribosomal RNA (417 nucleotides) under uncultured Gammaproteobacteria bacterium. Its description in RNAcentral is "bacterial SSU rRNA". It matches the Rfam family "Bacterial small subunit ribosomal RNA", at positions 370 to 779 of the family's 1533-position model. The record is from RNAcentral. Lineage: Bacteria; Pseudomonadati; Pseudomonadota; Gammaproteobacteria.